This 497-nucleotide ribosomal RNA is filed under the name uncultured bacterium. RNAcentral describes it as "partial 16S ribosomal RNA". It matches the Rfam family "Bacterial small subunit ribosomal RNA", at positions 28 to 507 of the family's 1533-position model. The record is from RNAcentral.
GACGAACGCUGGCGGCGUGCCUAAUACAUGCAAGUUGAGCGCUGAAGGAUGGUACUUGUACCAACUGGAUGAGCAGCGAACGGGUGAGUAACGCGUGGGGAAUCUGCCUUUGAGCGGGGGACAACAUUUGGAAACGAAUGCUAAUACCGCAUAAAAACUUUAAACACAAGUUUUAAGUUUGAAAGAUGCAAUUGCAUCACUCAAAGAUGAUCCCGCGUUGUAUUAGCUAGUUGGUGAGGUAAAGGCUCACCAAGGCGAUGAUACAUAGCCGACCUGAGAGGGUGAUCGGCCACACUGGGACUGGGACACGGCCCAAACUCCUACGGGAGGCAGCAGUAGGGAAUCUUCGGCAAUGGACGAAAGUCUGACCGAGCAACGCCGCGUGAGUGAAGAAGGGUUUCGGAUCGUAAAACUCUGUUGGUAGAGAAGAACGUUGGUGAGAGUGGAAAGCUCAUCAAGUGACGGUAACUACCCAGAAAGGGACGGCUAACUACGUG